GCUCUUGGUUCCUCCCACACUGCUUCCGCCUUUAGCAGGUUUUGGCGUACGACAGGGGAGGAGAUUCCCUCCCGCCGACAGGUUGCUGUCAUUACAGACACCAUGUUAUCCUACUCCCGGUGUCUCACCCGGAACUUCGGUCGUUCUCUCUCGGUCUUUCGUCAGGGAAUCAAUGUGUCUGCACGGCGGGCUGUGCCAGGAUUGUCAGCUAGCUGUAGUGUCACUGUCAAUAAACCUACGAAAUGUGAAGCCAGGUCCAGCAUCUUCCAAAUCAGAUACUUCAAGACAUCUGUAGCUUGCAGGAAUGAAGUCAUCACAGUAAAGACACCUGCAUUUGCAGAGUCUGUCACGGAGGGGGAUGUGAGGUGGGAGAAAGCGGUUGGUGAUUCUGUCAAAGAGGAUGAGGUGGUUUGCGAAAUUGAGACCGACAAGACAUCCGUGCAGGUGCCGUCUCCUGCUGCUGGGGUGAUUGAGGAGCUGCUGGUCCCUGAUGGGGAGAAGGUCGAGGGAGGGCAGGUUCUCUUCAAACUCCGGAAAGGGGCUGUUGCUGCCCAAGCUGCAGAGGCCCCAGCAGCAGCAGCCGCUCCUCCACCCCCCCCAUGAUGCAGCCACAACGCCCUCUCCUGCUCCCUCUGCAGUGGGCCCCAUCCCUACCACUAUGCCCCCAGUGCCACCUGUCCCAGGAGCUGCCAUCUUUGCCACACCAGUUUCAGCCAUCAAACCCACUGCUGCUCCUGCUGCCCCAGCCGCUGUCACAGAUGGAGGGGGUAAACCAGUCAGGACAGAGCACAGGGUGAAGAUGAACCGUAUGCGUCUGAGAAUCGCCCAGAGACUGAAGGAAGCCCAGAACACCUGCGCUAUGUUGACAACAUUUAAUGAGGUCGACAUGAGCAACAUCAGUGAGAUGAGGAAGGCCUACAAAGACGCUUUCCUGAAGAAACACAACAUCAAGCUGGGCUUCAUGUCUGCAUUUGUCAAGGCUUCAGCAUAUGCUCUGAUGGAACAGCCUGCCGUCAACGGAGUCAUUGACGACACCACCAAAGAGAUUGUGUACAGGGACUACGUGGACAUCAGUGUGGCUGUAGCAACACCAAAGGGCUUGGUGGUGCCUGUCAUCCGUGGAGUGGAGGGAAUGAACUUCGCUGACAUUGAGAAGACCAUCAACGAGCUGGGGGAGAAGGCUCGUAAGAAUGAGCUGGCCGUGGAGGACAUGGAUGGAGGAACCUUCACCAUCAGCAACGGUGGCGUGUUUGGAUCCAUGUUUGGCACGCCCAUCAUCAACCCUCCACAGUCUGCCAUCCUGGGAAUGCAUGGUAUCUUCGAUAGGCCAGUGGCCAUCGAGGGCAAGGUAGAGAUCCGCCCCAUGAUGUACGUGGCUCUGACGUACGACCAUCGCCUCAUCGACGGCAGAGAGGCGGUCACCUUCCUGCGUAAGAUCAAGACUGUGGUAGAAGAUCCCAGAGUGCUGCUACUGGACAUGUGAGCCAGCCUCCCCAGUCAAUGGCUAAACAAACCAAUCUACCAACCUUCACACGCAGCAGCUAUACCUGCCUGAUUAACCUAAACUGCAGACGUUUUGUGUUGGUUAACUAGGAAAAGGGAUACUUGAAUAGACCAAAAGGUGCAUUGGACUUAUUGCAUGGGCUGAAAUUGUGAAAUAAUUUAUGCUAAAUGUUGUGUGUCUGGGGCAGGGAGUGUGUGUUGUACAUCUCAAAGCACCAUUUGCUAUUUUCUACCUACAAUAAUUGUAAUAUAAAUGGCAAAAAGUUGCAUUAAGUAUUUUUCAUGUACAAUAACAAUUGUAGCCUAUCAGAAGAUAUACUGUUCAUGGUACAGGUUGCUUUGUUACACUGAAAUGUCAGGACCCAGUCAUCUUAUUCACGCACACUCUUAAAUUCUGUUUAUGCUGUGUAAAAAAAACUAUUUAAAGACCAGAUUAAGGUUUAAAAA
Molecule: RNA transcript, 1950 nt
Organism: Oncorhynchus keta (chum salmon)
Lineage: Eukaryota; Metazoa; Chordata; Actinopteri; Salmoniformes; Salmonidae
Gene name: dihydrolipoyllysine-residue succinyltransferase component of 2-oxoglutarate dehydrogenase complex, mitochondrial-like
Exons: 15
Source: RefSeq, a predicted model, not a curated record